Non-coding RNA from Prunus avium (sweet cherry), 511 nucleotides. Lineage: Eukaryota; Viridiplantae; Streptophyta; Magnoliopsida; Rosales; Rosaceae. The record is from RefSeq and is a predicted model, not a curated record.
UAUGGUGUUGUUUGUGGGGGUGGCUCUGUUGUGCCGUCCAAUGCUGUUGUUUGAUUCGAAGUCGAACUCGUUUCGUGUAACACAGUGGUGGAUUUGAGCAAAGAUGGUGGGAUUGUGAAGAAGAUUAUCGAGAAAGGAGAGAGGAAUGAGCAGCCUGGUGAUUUGAGUGAAGUUCUUGGCCAUUUUUGUUCAGCAUUGCCAAAAGCUAUCAAGACAAUGAAAAGGGGAGAGAAGGGCAGAUUCAUUGUUCAACCUCAGUGUAUGUGUUUGGAUCCUUGUUAUAAUACUGCUAUAUAUGUCUGGCAAAAAGAAAAAAAAAAUUGAAUCGUCUGACAAAUGAAAGUUGCAUAAAUAAUUGUAGAUGCCUUUGGUGCGUGGGUUGCUAAUGAAAGUGCAAGUGUUACUAAAAAUAUUAUUACUAGGAAUCAGUUGGGAAGUACUUGGAGGUAAUUUUUGGAAUACAUAAUGCACCUGUGAUAUCAUACCAUUCUACUACUAGUUAACUUAAACA